Molecule: long non-coding RNA, 7555 nt
Filed under: Malus domestica (apple)
Lineage: Eukaryota; Viridiplantae; Streptophyta; Magnoliopsida; Rosales; Rosaceae
Description: long non-coding RNA (MDOM_LNC006196)
Source: RNAcentral
ACUGCUGGAUAAUUGGAAAGUCCUUGUGUGUCAACCUCUGUGCUUCGUGGCAAGGUAGACUAGCAAACAUGCCCAACCUUUACUCACAUUCGAGAAAACACUCCCAACAAGAUUGCUUGCUCCAAAAUCGAAGAGGCACCGUCCUCCGAAUCUCGAGAGCCAGACUCCCAACAUGACUACUUUCUCAAAAAUCGAAGAGAGGGUAAAGAAACAGUACCAUUGCUGGAUAAUUGGAAAGUCCCUGUGUGUCAACCUCUGUGCUUCGUGGCAAGGUAGACUAGCAAACAUGCCCAACCUUUACUCACAUUCGAGAAAACACUCCCAACAAGAUUGCUUGCUCCAAAAUCGAAGAGGCACCGCCCUCCGAAUCUCGAGAGCCAGACUCCCAACAUGAUUACUUUCUCAAAAAUCGAAGAGACAUCGUUCUCCGAAUCUCGAGAGCCAGAUCCCUGAUAGGAUUGCUUGUUCGAAAACCGAAGAGGCAACACUUUCCCAACUACAAGAGCCGGAUCUCCUUGGAUAAAGUUGUCUGUAAUCUUCACACGCAACAUCAGCUUUCCACAUACCACAGACCACUUUUUCAAAGUGCUCUGACAGGGGUAAAAGGAAUAGCAUUACUACUUGUUGUUAAGGAGACUCCUAUAUAUGUCAACCUCCAUCCCCAACGGACAGACAGACCUGCAAAAAUGCUCAACCCUUCCUCAUAUAUGAGAGGGCACUCUCAACGAAGCCUUUCGAAAUAUUCAGCUUUCUUUCCCCCCGAUAAUACCUCUGCAAACAAGUUAUACUAGAGCAAGAAUAUCUCAUAUCAUCAGGGUUAAAAGCAAGAGUAUCCCAUAUCAUGCUUUUUCCCUGUCUUUUCCUUUGGCCUUGUUCUUACCUGCAAGACAAGGAGAAAGAGAGCAAUCAGUCAGCACUUGGAAUCAAGCUUCCAGCCAGGAACUGACUGCCUGGAACUUACUUACCUGGCAUUGCUCUCGAGUACUCAUCUUCAACAUCUUAUGCUUCCAGGGAAGAUACCGCAUCUGCCUGAGGAACAGAUAGGGCAAGUGAGAAGGAUACAAGGAAGCAUGUGGAGACAAGCGUAACAGCACACGUGCCGAUACAUCCAUUACUCUGUCAAAGCAAAAAGUAUCCCAUAUCAGUAGGGUCGAACGUACUCUAGAUUUGAUGGACUUGUUUUGACCCUCAAAUUCUUCAGUCGGCCUUAUACUCUGGAGGAAACCAGAAAACCCUCCAGCUCAGUUCAAGAAUAAGCCUGUGGAAAGUUACUUCUUCAAAAGCAAAAGUAUCCCAUAUCAUCUCUUCUCAUUUUUCUUCUCUUUAUCCUUCAUGCUGCCUGCAAGAUAGGGAGAAUGUGAACAAUCAGCCGGAGCUCUGAUUGCUUACCUUGUCUGUCACCUCUUUCAGCAAAUCCCCUAGCUCGGCAACUUGAGGGACUCCUACUACAUGGUUUGUAUCGCGCUUGACCAAGCCUGAAACUACAAGUAAGCUUCAAGUGAAAUUGAUACAUUACCUUGUGCAUCUCCACCAGUUAAAGAUACCACCCCUGGAUGGAGGAAGAGUACUUCCAGAGAAGAUGCCACAUCUACCUAUGAGACAGAUAAGGCAAGUCAAGACGAUACCACAUUCCGAUACUUAGAAGUUUCGUGAUUACGAGAUCAUUCUCCCACAAUAUUUCCUAAUGUCAUUUGUACUAAAUCAUUCACCUGUACUCACUAAAGGAAAGCUUGAACCUAUGUACUUGUGUAAACCCUUCACAAUUAAUGAGAACUCCUCUAUUCCGUGGACGUAGCCAAUCUGGGUGAACCACGUACAUCUUGUGUUUGCUUUCCUAUCUAUAUCCAUUUUAUAUACUUAUCCACACUAAUGAUCGGAGCAAUCUAGCGAAGAUCACAAAAAAGCGACCGUUUUCGCUACCUAGGAUAUAUCGUGCAAGAGAACGGAGAAUUAGAGAGAGAUCUCAACCAUAGAAUAGAAGUUGGAUAGAUGAAGUGUAAGAGUGCAUCCGGCGGGUUGUGUGACCGUCGUAGGCCACUGAAGCUCAAGGGAAAAUUUUAUAGGACGGCAAUAAGGCCAGCGAUGUUGUAUGACACAGAAUGUUGGGCGGUGAAGCAUCAACACAUACACAAAAUGGGUGUGGCGGAGACGAGGAUGCUUCGUGGGAUGUGUGGGCACACAAGAAAUGAUAAGAUUGGAAAUGAGGAUAUUCGAGGUAAAGUAGGAGUGGCCGAAAUUGAAGGAAAGAUGAGAGAAAAUCGGUUCCGGUGAUUUGGACAUGUGCAAAGAAGGCCUACUGACGCUCCGGUUCGAAGAUGUGACUACGGGACAGAGGUUCAGGGCCAAAGGGGUAGAGGAAGACCUAGGAAAACUUUGGAAGAGACUCUAAGAAAAGACUUAGAGUACUUGGUUCUAACGGAGGACAUGACACAAAACCGAGCGCAAUGGCGUUCUAGGAUUCAUAUAGCCGACCCCACUUAGUGGGAAAAGGCUUUGUUGUUGUUGUUGUUGUUGUGUGGCGUGUUUACUAAACUGUUCAUAUAUUCGCAUGGCAUCAUCUUAUAAGUUUGCAUAACACCGGAGACUAUCAAUAAACAUGAUCAACUAAGGGGGAUUAAAAUCAACACCUUGUGCCUCCAAACCCAUAUAAAAUAACACCAUUCUCACAAUUGCCUAUCAAGGAAAUAGUUAAAUUCACAGAAAGCCGUCUAGUUGAAAUUUGAUAAGCAAAAACCAUAACCAAAUGCAACCAAAGAUCGAGCAGGAGAGUAUCUCAAACCUGAAGAACCAGCGCCCAAUUGUAAAGUGCAUCAUAAUCAUGUGGGUUUCUUUCUAUUGCACUAGCAUACCUACAAAAUUUAUGUACAAAUAAGAAUUCCGGGAAAGCAAGACACCUAAAAGACAUUGUGCGGUUGCAAACAUCGCAAAGUACCGUAAAAGAAACAAAGAAAAGAGAAGUAUGAUCAUGCACGUUACAAAGAACUCAAACUUUGUUUCAGUAGAGGCAAGCUGACAAGUCAAGACAAAGAAGGUAUCGGGAGCCUUGUUUUUUAAACAUUUUCAAAAUUUUAUAGAGAUUUAAAUGGACACGUGGGCAGGGAGACAGGCAACUAUGGAGGUUUUCAUGGUGGCCAUGGUUUUGGGGAGAGAAACGAGGAUGGGGAAGCUAUCUUGGAUUUUGCAAUGGCAUAUGAUCUCUUCUUAGCCAACACCUUCUUUAAGAAGAGAGAAGAACAUGUGAUCACCUACAAGAGUGGGUCGUCAAAAACACAAAUAGAUUUUCUUCUAAUGAGGAAAGGGGAUCGUAUAACUUGUAAGGAUUGCAAAGUUAUACCAGGAGAGAGCGUGGCUAAUCAACAUCGCUUGUUGGUGAUGGAUGUACAUAUCAAAAGAGUAAGACAAAAGAACAAGACUUGGAAGUGCCCAAGGACUAGAUGGUGGAAUCUAAAAGAAGAAAAAACAAGCCAUUUUCAAAGAGAAGGUAAUCACCCAAUGUGUGUGGGAUAGAGAGGGGGAAGCUAGCCAAAUGUGGGAUUCCAUGGCUAGUUGUAUCCGAAAAGUAGCAAAAGAGGUAUUAGGAGAGUCCAAGGGCUUUGCCCCACACCAAAAGGAAUCUUGGUGGUGGAAUGAGGAGGUACAAACAAAGGUGAAGGCUAAGAAGGAAUGUUGUAAAGCCUUAUACAAGGAGAGGACCGAUGAAAAUGGUGAAAGGUAUAGAAAAGCGAAGCAAGAGGCGAAGAAAGCUGUCAGAGAAGCUAAGUUAGCGGCUUACGACGAUAUGUAUAAACGACUAGAUACCAAAGAAGGAGAGUUGGAUAUCUAUAAACUAUCUAGAGCAAGGGAAAAGAAGACAAGGGACCUAAACCAAGUGAGGUGCAUCAAGGAUGAGGAUGGAAAGGUUCUUGCUACAGAGAACGCGGUUAAAGACAGAUGGAGAGGUUAUUUUCAUAAUCUUUUCAAUGAAGGACAUGAAAUGAGUGCUUCUUUAGGGGAGUUGAGUAACUCAGAAGAGUGUAGAAACUACUCUUUUUAUCGUCGAAUCCGGAAGGAAGAAGUGGUUGUAGCUUUGAAGAAGAUGAAGCAUAAAAAAGCAAUAGGCCCAGACGAUAUACCAAUCGAAGUGUGGAAACUUUUGGGAGAGACAGGUAUAACAUGGCUCACUGACCUUUUCAAUAGGAUUUUGAAAACGAAGAAGAUGCCAAAUGAGUGGCGAACGAGCACUUUGGUGCCUAUCUACAAGAAUAAGGGCGACGUACAAAAUUGCAUGAACUAUAGGGGUAUUAAGCUAAUGAGUCAUACAAUGAAGCUCUGGGAGAGAGUCAUUGAGCAUAGAUUGAGGCAAGAGACACGGGUUUCGGACAACCAAUUCGGGUUCAUGCCAGGGCGCUCAACCAUGGAGGCAAUCUAUCUCUUACGAAGAUUGAUGGAAAGAUAUAGAGAUGGGAAAAAGGAUUUACACAUGGUCUUUAUAGAUUUGGAAAAAGCGUAUGAUAGGGUCCCAAGAGACAUUCUUUGGAGGAUUUUAGAGAAGAAAGGAGUACGAGUAGCAUAUAUCCAAGCUAUAAAGGAUAUGUAUGAAGGAGCAAAGACUGCCGUAAGAACUCAUGAAGGACAAACCGAAAGCUUUCCCAUAACUGUAGGAUUACAUCAAGGCUCAUCCUUAAGUCCUUACCUUUUUGCGUUGGUAAUGGAUGAGUUAACAGGACAUAUUCAAGAUGAUAUUCCUUGGUGUAUGCUUUUCGCAGACGAUAUAGUGUUGAUAGAUGAAACUCAGGAAGGGGUAAAUGCAAAGCUUAACCUUUGGAGAGAAGUGUUGGAAUCUAAAGGUCUUCGCCUAAGCCGAUCAAAGACAGAAUAUAUGGAGUGCAAGUUCAGUGCAAAUGGAGGCCAAAACGAGUUAGGGGUGAGGAUCGGAGAUCAAGAAAUACCAAAGAGCGACCGUUUUCGUUACCUAGGAUCUAUCUUGCAAAAGAACGGAGAAUUAGAUGGAGAUCUCAACCAUAGAAUACAAGCUGGAUGGAUGAAGUGGAAGAGUGCAUCCGGCGUGUUGUGUGACCGCCGUAUGCCACUGAAGCUCAAGGGAAAAUUUUAUAGGACGGCAAUAAGGCCGGCGAUGCUGUAUGGCACAGAAUGUUGGGCGGUGAAACAUCAACACGUACACAAAAUGGGUGUAGCGGAGAUGAGGAUGCUUCGUUGGAUGUGUGGGCACACGAGAAAGGAUAAGAUUAGGAAUGAGGAUAUCCGGGGUAAAGUAGGAGUAGCCGAAAUUGAAGGAAAGAUGAGAGAAAAUCGGUUACGGUGGUUUGGACAUGUGCAAAGAAGGCCUACUGACGCUCCGAUUAGAAGAUGCGACUAUGGGACAGAGGUUCAGGGCCGAAGGGGUAGAGGAAGACCUAGGAAAACUUUGGAAGAGACUCUAAGAAAAGACUUAGAGUACUUGGAUCUAACGAAGGACAUGACACAGGAUCGAGCACAAUGGCGUUCUAAGAUUCAUAUAGCCGAUCCCACUCAGUGACUUGGAUUUUCCAAGUCUCCAACCGAGAAGUUUUCCUCACUCGGGAAAUUAAGGGAACACUACCCCAACCUACAUGCUCCACUCAGAAAGCUUCAACAUACAAGCUUCAACAAAAGAAAAUUCAAAGAACUUAGCGAAGAAGGCUUUGGUGUAUUUAACACAAUACGUUGAAAUGAAGGAAAGCUUAUUUAUUGAUAUCCCCGAUAAGCUACAAAUAUGUACAUAUACAUGAGUCAAAAUAAACACACAAGAGGGAGCCUUCACAAAGGUUGCUUAGGAGAAGUCUCAGCAGUCGGUAGAGCCCCAGAAAGAGAAGGCACCGGAGGGGGAUCAUUUGGAGCCUCAGUACUGGACAGAACCCUAGAAGGAGGAGGCAUCAGAGGUUGAUCAUUUGGAGCUUCAUUACGCGCGGUACAGCCCCAGAAGACGAAGGCAAUAAAUGCCUUUGGAACAAACCCACAAAUCUCUGAUGAUCAAGUAAAACCUGACCAUCAGUUUCCUUCAUCUGGUCAAGCUUCCUCUUCAUGUUUGUAGCAUAGUCAUGUGCGAGCCGGUGCAACUGUUUAUUCUCAUGCUUGAGCCCUCUAAUCUCCUGUUUGAGACUCAUCACUUCAGCCGCCAAUGAUUCAACUUGGCGGGUUCGAGCAAAUAGGCGUUGGGCCAUAUUAGACACAGAACCUGCACACUGAACACUGAGAGCCAGCGAAUCCUUAACAGCUAACUCAUCAGACCGUUUGGAAAGUAGUCUGUUAUCUUUGGGAGUGAGAAGGUUCCUGGCCACCACCGCAGCGGUCAUAUCAUUCUUCAUCACGGAAUCCCCAACGGUAAGAGGACCAGUAGGGGAGACGAAGGAUGGGCGCCAUAUGUUGUCUGGAGAAGGCGGGGCUGCCUCUUCAACAAGGUUCAAGUCAAAACGACGGUCGGAGGGGCCAGACAUUUUCAAAGGUGUUGAAGAGAGAAGAGGUCGGACAAAUCAAGAUCUUAGAAGUGCAAGAAUGAAGCUUCUACUGGUGGAGAUUCAAGUGUGCUUUGGAACUUAAUGCCAGCCCCUAUAAAAAAUCUGCACUCGACGGAGCUUCAGAAAUCGAAGAGGCGCCUGCUCAGAAAUCGAAGAGGCGUUUGCUUUCUCAAAAGCUGGGCUGCUUAGAGAUCACGAGGGUUGAUCUCAGAAAUCGAAGAGGCGUUUGCUUUCUCAAAAGUUGGGCUGCUCAAAGACCACGAAGGCCGAUCUCAGAAAUCGAAGAGGCGCUCGCUUUCUCAAAAGCUGGGCUCCCCAGAGACCACGAGGGCCGAUCUCAGAAAUCGAAGAGGCACCUACUUUUCCAGCCUUGUCAGCACCUGUCACACGCACACUCAGCUUUGCGGAAAUUAUGGGCAUUCUGUCGAAGACUUCUGGGGAAGUAGAAAACACAUGAAUCUUACUGUUCAAUCACCCACUUCCCACACGCAACAAUAGCUCAUGGGUACCACAGAUAACUUUGCCAAAGUUCUCUGCCAAAGUUGAGCACGUGAAGCUUGCAGCUCCCACUACAUCGCUCUGACCAAGAAGGGUAAAAGAAUAGCAAAGAAACAGCACUAACAAAGUUUAGACCCAUAAAUUUUGAAGGUCUAGCUACCAUAUUAUUACCCACAAGGGUAAAGGAACAGUACCACUGCUGGAUAAUUGGAAAGUCCCUGUGUGUCAACCUCUGUGCUUCGUGGCAAGGUAGACUAGCAAACAUGCCCAACCUUUACUCACAUUCGAGAGAAAACACUCCCAAUAAGAUUGCUUGCUCCAAAAUCGAAGAGGCACCGUCCUCCGAAUCUCGAGAGCCAGACUCCCAACAUGACUACUUUCUUAAAAAUCGAAGAGAGGGUAAAGGAACAGUACCAUUGCUGGAUAAUUGGAAAGUCCCUGUGUGUCAACCUCUGUGCUUCGUGGCAAGGUAGACUAGCAAACAUGCCCAACCUUUACUCACAUUCGAGAAAACACUCCCAACAAGAUUGCUUGCUCCAAAAUCGAAGAGGCACCGCCCUCCGAAUCUCGAGAGCCAGACUCCC